CAAAUAACAGAGCAAGUCGCCCAGAAGAACGGCACCAGAGUUUCCUCUUCCUUCUUGUCUUCGAUAAGGAUCAGGCUCACCUUUUGGGCAGGAACGUUUGGAGAAGAGUCUGUCAGUAGUAAUAAAUGUAUGACCUAAUGGGCUGCUGUGGUAAAACUUGAAGACUUGAAGGCAUCUCUGGCAUCAGCCCAGUCUCAGAGAAAAUUUCCUCGCUGCCAGCCGCCGACUCCUCACAUCAAGUGGAGAGAGAAAGCAGUUCUCUAUAAGUGGUGAACCUGCGAUUGACCUCAUAUCUGGGGAAUGAUGUUGGUAAAUUUGAACAGACUUUUCUUCUGG
Sphaeramia orbicularis (orbiculate cardinalfish) is the source of this 336-nucleotide long non-coding RNA. RefSeq lists it as uncharacterized. The transcript is spliced from 3 exons. Lineage: Eukaryota; Metazoa; Chordata; Actinopteri; Kurtiformes; Apogonidae. The record is from RefSeq and is a predicted model, not a curated record.